This 509-nucleotide ribosomal RNA is filed under the name uncultured bacterium. RNAcentral describes it as "partial 16S ribosomal RNA". It matches the Rfam family "Bacterial small subunit ribosomal RNA", at positions 30 to 523 of the family's 1533-position model. The record is from RNAcentral.
AUUGAACGCUGGCGGCAGGCCUAACACAUGCAAGUCGAGCGGCAGCGGGAAAGUAGCUUGCUACUUUUGCCGGCGAGCGGCGGACGGGUGAGUAAUGCCUGGGGAUCUGCCCAGUCGAGGGGGAUAACUACUGGAAACGGUAGCUAAUACCGCAUACGCCCUACGGGGGAAAGCAGGGGACCUUCGGGCCUUGCGCGAUUGGAUGAACCCAGGUGGUGAUUAGCUAGUUGGUGAGGUAAUGGCUCACCAAGGCGACGAUCCCUAGCUGGUCUGAGAGGAUGAUCAGCCACACUGGAACUGAGACACGGUCCAGACUCCUCCGGGAGGCAGCAGUGGGGAAUAUUGCACAAUGGGGGAAACCCUGAUGCAGCCAUGCCGCGUGUGUGAAGAAGGCCUUCGGGUUGUAAAGCACUUUCAGCGAGGAGGAAAGGUUGGUAGCUAAUAACUGCCAGCUGUGACGUUACUCGCAGAAGAAGCACCGACUAACUCCGUGCCAGCCGCCGCCGUAA